GUAGGUGGCAAGCGUUGUCCGGAAUUAUUGGGCGUAAAGCGCGCGCAGGCGGUUCUUUAAGUCUGAUGUGAAAGCCCACGGCUCAACCGUGGAGGGUCAUUGGAAACUGGAGGACUUGAGUACAGAAGAGGAAAGCGGAAUUCCACGUGUAGCGGUGAAAUGCGUAGAGAUGUGGAGGAACACCAGUGGCGAAGGCGGCUUUCUGGUCUGUAACUGACGCUGAGGCGCGAAAGCGUGGGGAGCAAACAGGGAUUAGAUACCCUGGUAGUCCACGCCGUAAACGAUGAGUGCUAAGUGUUAGGGGGUUUCCGCCCCCUUAGUGCUGCAGCUAACGCAUUAAGCACUCCGCCUGGGGAGUACGGCCGCAAGGCUG
Molecule: ribosomal RNA, 373 nt
Filed under: uncultured organism
Description: partial 16S ribosomal RNA
Rfam family: Bacterial small subunit ribosomal RNA
Source: RNAcentral